AUGUACAUUCCUACAACGUUAAUGCAUCAGACCCCAUUAGAAAUCUGCAGUUUAGUGCGCUUGGGCUAGAGUAGUACUUGGAUGGGUGACCUCCCGGGAAGUCUUAGUGUUUUACAUG
Molecule: non-coding RNA, 118 nt
Organism: Picea glauca (white spruce)
Lineage: Eukaryota; Viridiplantae; Streptophyta; Pinopsida; Pinales; Pinaceae
Source: Rfam